AAAUAUUUAUAUAUACUAUUCCCUCAUAAAUUUAUAUUCUAUUUUUUUAAAAAAACGAAAUGUUGAAAUCUCCGAAUAAUGUUUUAGUUAUACUUGUAGCAUUCCUUUUCGUUUUCUUAAUGAUCAUAUCAAAUGAAGCUUGCAGAAUGCUGGAUGAAGAUGCUGAGCAGUUGAAGACGACGACGACAAAGAGUAGUUGUCAUUAUCAUGAUUUUCAUCUGCUACAAUCACUGCAAAGGGGUUCGGUGCCACCUCCGGGGCGACGCAAUGGCUGCACUUUCAUUCCCGGCAAGAGCAAAACUCCAUGCAAAAUCGACGGGCAAGGUUUCGCAGGACGGCCUAGCAGGAGAUCAGCCACUCCGGCGUUCAUGCAUGAAUCAACCUAGUGACGAGAGUUGCUACGGCCUCGGCUCUAUCACGGUUCACAAAUAUUAUAAUAAACUAACCUGCACAGACAAAGCAAAUUAUAUAUCACUCUUCCCUCGAAUUUGUUUUCACUUUAUUUUAAAUUGUACUCCCUACUUUUCACUGUUAUUCUCUCUCAAAUUAGGGUUUUGAGAGUCGACUCCCAAAAUUAGCUCACUUCUCCAUUCUUCACCUUCAUCCUCUACAUCCACCAAAUCAUUUUCGCUCUCCCAUCUUCUCCACUCUUUACCUGUUUUUUGUUUUUCAAUAAAAUCGAGGGUUGCUUAAA
Molecule: long non-coding RNA, 694 nt
Filed under: Daucus carota (carrot)
Lineage: Eukaryota; Viridiplantae; Streptophyta; Magnoliopsida; Apiales; Apiaceae
Description: long non-coding RNA (DCAR_LNC001453)
Source: RNAcentral